This is a long non-coding RNA of Carassius gibelio (silver crucian carp), 798 nucleotides long. RefSeq lists it as uncharacterized. NCBI's taxonomy places the organism in Eukaryota, Metazoa, Chordata, Actinopteri, Cypriniformes, Cyprinidae. The transcript is spliced from 6 exons. The record is from RefSeq and is a predicted model, not a curated record.
ACAAGUCAGCUGCCGACGAUCCAAAAUGAAAUGCAGAGGUCAUUUCCAGGUUUUUUUCGCCGUGAAAUGAUUCGCUCCAAGAAACGCCCUGCUGCUCUUUCCAAAAUAUCUCCAGCGAUAGCCAUAAAAUAUGUCAGGCUUCAGUUUUUGGUGCUGUCAAGUCCGACUGAUCGCACACCAAAGCCAUCUGAAGAAAUCAAACUCCUCGAGGCAGGCUUGGGGAAAAGAACCAUUACAGUGGCUGAUAGCUCUUGCCAUGAGGAGGUGGUCAAGGACAGAGAAAAUUGACUGUUGUCGCUACAGAGUCUGAGGGCUACACUGGACGACUCCUUAAAACGGUCACAAAUAAUGGAAAACUAAUUCUGUACAUUGUCCCACUACAAGAGGAGCUAGAUGCAAGCCCCCUCCCCCACAAUGCUCCAGAAUUUUCCAAAAUGCCAAAGUCCUCAUGCAAAAACUGUGGAGUUGUUAUGCCUUUACAGUUCCUGGCUCUGCACAUCAAAUCUUGUAAUGCUGAAAUUAGCAGUGAUGAGCCUGAAAUUGUCAGUAUUGUAGAGAAAGAAGUCAAUACUACAGAAGUAUGCCCAAUAUGUGAAAAACAAUUUCCUAGAGAGGAUAUUGCAUACCAUGCCAGCUUUUGUGGAGAUGGAUUUCCAGAAGACACCUUGAUGCCAUUACUUGAAAAUGAUGCCAGAGAGGGGACUUCAAGCACAAUUGAUUUCUUGCCUCAUGAACAAAGCACCAGUUCCACUGGUGUAGUCAAUGACAUGGCCGGACCAUCAACUAUUCUUGCUGAUC